RNAcentral lists this ribosomal RNA (505 nucleotides) under uncultured bacterium. Its description in RNAcentral is "partial 16S ribosomal RNA". It matches the Rfam family "Bacterial small subunit ribosomal RNA", at positions 28 to 507 of the family's 1533-position model. The record is from RNAcentral.
GACGAACGCUGGCGGCGUGCCUAAUACAUGCAAGUAGAACGCACAGUUUAUACCAUAGCUUGCUACACCAUAAACUGUGAGUUGCGAACGGGUGAGUAACGCGUAGGUAACCUGCCUUGUAGCGGGGGAUAACUAUUGGAAACGAUAGCUAAUACCGCAUAAUAUUGAUUAUUGCAGGAUAAUUGAUUGAAAGAUGCUAUUGCAUCACUACCAGAUGGACCUGCGUUGUAUUAGCUAGUAGGUGAGGUAACGGCUCACCUAGGCGACGAUACAUAGCCGACCUGGGAGGGUGAUCGGCCACACUGGGACCGGGACACGGCCCAGACUCCUACGGGAGGCAGCAGUAGGGAAUCUUCGGCAAUGGACGAAAGUCUGACCGAGCAACGCCGGGUGAGUGAAGAAGGGUUUCGGAUCGUAAAGCUCUGUUGUAAGAGAAGAACGGGUGUGAGAGUGGAAAGUUCACACUGUGACGGUAUCUUAACAGAAAGCGACGGCUAACUACGUG